GACGAACGCUGGCGGCGUGCUUAACACAUGCAAGUCGAGCGGUAAGGCCCUUCGGGUACGACGAGCGGCGAACGGGUGAGUAACACGUGGGUGACCUGCCUCUAGCUCUGGGAUAAGCCUGGGAAACUGGGUCUAAUACCGGAUAUGACUCCACGGCGCAUGUUGUGGGGUGGAAAGCCUUGUGUGGCUAGAGAUGGGCCCGCGGCCUAUCAGCUUGUUGGUGGGGUGAUGGCCUACCAAGGCGACGACGGGUAGCCGGCCUGAGAGGGCGACCGGCCACACUGGGACUGAGACACGGCCAGACUCCUACGGGAGGCAGCAGUGGGGAAUCUUGCGCAAUGGGCGAAAGCCUGACGCAGCGACGCCGCGUG
This 371-nucleotide ribosomal RNA is filed under the name uncultured bacterium. Its description in RNAcentral is "bacterial SSU rRNA". It matches the Rfam family "Bacterial small subunit ribosomal RNA", at positions 28 to 403 of the family's 1533-position model. The record is from RNAcentral.